Helianthus annuus (common sunflower) is the source of this 781-nucleotide long non-coding RNA. RefSeq lists it as uncharacterized. The record is from RefSeq and is a predicted model, not a curated record. Lineage: Eukaryota; Viridiplantae; Streptophyta; Magnoliopsida; Asterales; Asteraceae. The transcript is spliced from 4 exons.
AGGUCUGAUUGAGCAAACUGCAGUUGAGAUGGUGGGCAAAGGUCGUACGAUUGCACUUGAAUAGAUGGAACUUAAUUGACUUCUAAUACAACCAGCCAAACCCACAUGGCUUAUUCCCUUUGGAACCUUCAAACCAACAAUGAUAAUCGUGUUGAAUAACUCGACAUAUCUAAUCAACAUUGUACAAGCAUUAUGAAUGGGCUGUUGGAACUGGAGAUGGCAAAUCUGAUAUAUUAGAUUUUCAACAGAACAAGAAGCAAUCGAACUAGCAAAUGAUACCCAAUAUGGAUUGGGUUAUGUUGUUUCAUCCAAUGACUGGAGUGGUGUGAUCGUGUUGCAAAGGUAUUAAAAACUUAAUUAGAAGCAAAUACAUGCAUUACAAUUUACAAUUGAUAUGUGAGUUUAGGGGUGGCAAUAGGUUGUGUUUCCCUUUAACAAUAGGUAUACAGAAAAGUGAAGACUACAGGUUUAAUGCAAUUGCAGCUGAGUACCAAGAAUACAACAAGAAGGAUAUAACUUUAGUUUUCCAAUUCUCUGUCAUGCGUGAGCAGAAGCGUGAUUGUGGUGGUGGCUACAUGAAGUUCAGUGGUGAUGCGUGUGGAUUAAAAGAAACUGUUGAUGUGACUUCAUUUAAUAGACGUCCGACUUAGUAUAAAUAUAAAUGUAAUUAUCGUCGCAUCCCGCCGCAUCGCGGCCGGUAGUAUAUCUAGUUAUACAUCAAAAAUAAAGAAAAUAGUGAAGAGAUACAUCUCUUGGUGCAAGUUUUUUAGUAAAAAUUAGU